This 247-nucleotide long non-coding RNA is filed under the name Capsicum annuum. RNAcentral describes it as "long non-coding RNA (CANN_LNC005291)". Lineage: Eukaryota; Viridiplantae; Streptophyta; Magnoliopsida; Solanales; Solanaceae. The record is from RNAcentral.
ACCAGAACUUAGCUUUAAAGCUAAGAGUAAACUUUACGAUGCACUCUUUAGAAUUAGUCAACCAGGAAGGAUCUCCAUCAUCAGUCAAUAACAAGGCCGCCCAACGUCUCUGAACAAAAGCAUUUCUUAUUCUAUACUUAAAAUUUGGGACCGCAGGUGGAGCCUCAUAUCCUGACCCGAAUAGCAUCCUAUUAAUUAUUUGGGCUGAGAUAUCAACGGUGACCCCUCAGACAGGGACAGACCCCCU